This 301-nucleotide ribosomal RNA is filed under the name uncultured bacterium. RNAcentral's name for it is "partial 16S ribosomal RNA". It matches the Rfam family "Bacterial small subunit ribosomal RNA", at positions 509 to 809 of the family's 1533-position model. The record is from RNAcentral.
CAGCCGCCACGGGAAUACAGAGGGUGCGAGCGUUAAUCGGAUUUACUGGGCGUAAAGCGUGCGUAGGCGGCUUCUUAAGUCGGAUGUGAAAUCCCUGAGCUUAACUUAGGAAUUGCAUUCGAUACUGGGAAGCUAGAGUAUGGGAGAGGAUGGUAGAAUUCCAGGUGUAGCGGUGAAAUGCGUAGAGAUCUGGAGGAAUACCGAUGGCGAAGGCAGCCAUCUGGCCUAAUACUGACGCUGAGGUACGAAAGCAUGGGGAGCAAACAGGAUUAGAUACCCCAGUAGUCCCUGUCUCUUAUAU